Anopheles funestus (African malaria mosquito) is the source of this 1847-nucleotide long non-coding RNA. RefSeq lists it as uncharacterized. NCBI's taxonomy places the organism in Eukaryota, Metazoa, Arthropoda, Insecta, Diptera, Culicidae. The record is from RefSeq and is a predicted model, not a curated record. The transcript is spliced from 3 exons.
UAUCUCGAGGUACCACUGUAAUUCCACGCAUGCAUACAAUUCGCAUGCAUAAUUCUUCUAAAUUUAUGGUCCGCAAAAGAGAUUGUCAUAAACCCGAAAUGUAUCAUUGUUGUUUGUCGUAAAGUAAAGCUAAAUUAGAAAAAAAACUUAUGCUAAGAUUAAAGAUAAUAUUUGGUGUGAUGAUUGGUGUGAAAGAAAGGAAUGUUUAAAAUUAAUGAAAUUGUUAAAAUUAGUCCGGAAGAAUACCCGAGUAAUGCCCGGCAUGAGACAAAGUGCAAGUAGGAAAUUCCUUGAAAAAAUUGUACAUACUUUAGCAGUUUGAGGCUGACAAUACGACUAAAAGCCGUAAUCAUGAUUUAAACAUAACUAAAAAUUGGUCAAGAAGAAUACAGCAAACUAAGAACUGAAAAAUGCAUGUAAAAUAAUGUUCGGUAAAUGAUAUGGCAUAUAUGCGUACACAAUAUUGUAAUAAACUAGAAGUCUAGAUAGAAUUUAGCGUAAUGGAAACUAUUCCUAUUUCAGAAGUAACCAGCAUAAAAUGACUGAAAAUAUCGAGCAAUAUCCUGUUUCCAAUCGGGGCGAUUAAAGUUAAGCAUUGCAAUUAAUUUGCUCGUUUAGCGAUUGUUUAAAAUUAUGGUCGCGCCAUUCCGUUUGUUGUUUAGGGAAGAGGCAAUACAGCCCAAAAACAUCCCACCUUACCUAAAAAAAACCACAGUACAAAGCAGUGACCGCAAAAAUCCGCAACAAAAACCCUAAUUAACAACAUGUACGAACACAAACCACCUGGUCUUCCGUUUACCAACAAACACCUCCUUCACGCCAUGGAAUCCGUGUGUACUACAUACUGGCGCGUCGGGACGGUUUCUCCCGAUAAUGUGGAACGAAAACCAGCUAACAAGCUGUGUAUUCUGAAAGAGGGGAAAUCAGAGUUUGUCAGACAACUGCUGGGAAACUAGUUUUUACUCAUCCUGUCGCUCACAAUUAACCUUUGAAUGGAUGUGGUACUGAUCAGCGGCCUGGUGUUGGUGUAGGGAAGCGACAGAAUGAGGCGACGUGUGCCAUAACGUGACCGAUAGUUCACCUCAGGAUCAGCAUUUACGUUACGUUUUUAGAUCCUCCGUAAAGUGCAGUAGGGGCAGGAGUUGCCUAUAAAAACAGAAAACCAGUGAUGCAAGAGUGGUAAUUGCGGUACAAGAGCCUUAACCGUUGGACUAGAAUUGGAUUGGAGAGUUUAUGCAGGAACAACAAAAACCGACGGCCACUACAGAAUUAUCGUACCGAACCAUUUACAUCUAAAGAAGUAGCAGAAAUAGCAGAAACUGUAUAAUGCGAAUGUAGGAAAAUAUAUGUAUGUAAACUAGGUGUCAACAGGAUAUCCUAUCUGUAGCUACAAGCUUAUGCAGCUGACAGAUCACGUUGCGUCUUCAGUGAGAUGUAACGGGACAGCUUUUGUUUUGCAAGAGAGAAAAACCAACGCAGCAAAAACUAGCAUUAUCUUUUUGGCAUUCGAAAUGAGGUACGGUAGCAAUAAGGACUAGUAUGAGGCAAUGGAAAAAAAUAAAUACGAGUACUACAGCUUGAAAAUCAGUCCGUAAGCAAAGGUGGUCAGUGUAGCUGCAAAAGUAAGGUCGCGUGUUCCAAACACAGCACUACAACAACUGGACAAUUGUGCCUGGUAGCUCAUGCUCAAUUAUGCACCGGAGAAGAGUUUCGGUUUUUUUAUUUCUAUCGCUUGUCAUUUGUUUAUGAAUCCCACCUUAUGAAGCUUACAAAAUAAAUGUUGCAACCUUGCCAAAGCGGAGUUAUACGAAAAGAGUUUUGAAAAAAUAUUACCUUAGGAAAUUUAC